This 268-nucleotide unclassified non-coding RNA is filed under the name Ascomycota sp. RNAcentral's name for it is "partial contains small subunit ribosomal RNA, internal transcribed spacer 1, and 5.8S ribosomal RNA". The stretch from base 1 to 47 matches the Rfam family "Eukaryotic small subunit ribosomal RNA", at positions 1785 to 1831 of the family's 1831-position model. The record is from RNAcentral. Lineage: Eukaryota; Fungi; Ascomycota.
AAAGUCGUAACAAGGUCUCCGUUGGUGAACCAGCGGAGGGAUCAUUAGUGAGACUCAGCGCUCCAACCCUUGCGAAUCCUACCAUUGCGGCGUUGUUUCGGCGGGUUUGUUGGUGGAUGGCAAUCCCUUCUGGGAGAGCCGUACACUGGCAUUCCGCCUGGCCAGCGGAGCCCGCCGGCAGCGCCAAAUUCUAUUUUAUAGCACAACUAUAUUCUGAGUGGCAAUACAAAACAAAGCAAAACUUUCAACAACGGAUCUCUUGGUUCUG